GGAACAAUUGUGAGGUGUUAUGUCUGUCUGGCAGGUUUCACCUGACCUUGACCUCAUUUUCAUGGUUCAUUUUCAAGGUUCAUUGGGCAAUUUUGAGUUUUUGAGGUUUGUUCUAUUUCUCAGACAUUAUGUGGAACAAUUUUGAGGUGUACAUGUCUGUCUGGCAGGGUUUGUAUGAAUUUAUCUACUUUUCAUGGUUAAUUGGUUAAUGAUAAUGUUUUUGUAAUUUUGUCAAUUUAUCAGAUACUAUAAGUAAUUGGUUAACUAUAUUUGGAGUAUGGAAUAAUGUUUGAUGAACAUGUCUGUCUGGCAUGGUUCAAAUGACUGUGACCUCAUUUUCAUAAAACAUUGAUAAUGUUGAGUUUUUGUGAUUCUUCUCUUUGUAGUAAAAUCUUCAUAUAACAGACUUAUGUCAUAAUUUAAUGAUAAUUAAAGCAGGCAAGACAUUUCAGUGUGUUCACACUUUUUAUAAAUAUGGUUGCACAUAAUGAUUGAGAUUACAACUAUCCCGUUAAUGGACCUUUUCUAUUAGACUUAUACCAGGUUUGUACUUAUGUGAUGACACUUACCCUUGUGGAGCACCUGACAUAAAAAGAAGAUGUGGUAGGAUUGCCAAUGAGACAACUCUCCACAAGAGACCAAAAUAACACAGAAAGUAACAACUAUAGGUUAC
This 673-nucleotide long non-coding RNA is filed under the name Mytilus galloprovincialis (Mediterranean mussel). Lineage: Eukaryota; Metazoa; Mollusca; Bivalvia; Mytilida; Mytilidae. The record is from RNAcentral.